UGGAAAAGUUUAGUUCGUGCUCAUCCCUCCAGGUGUAGAGGAAGCAACCCAGGUUGAGACUUGGUGAAGGGCGAGCAGUGACAACACAAUGAUUCACAAGACCUGCGUGGUGGUGGUGGGUGUGUUGGCAGCCCUGGUGGCCACCGGUGCUGCCCAUCAGAUGAUGUGGGGCAGCUGCUCAACCAACCCUUUUACACCUUUUCCUGAUUUCAACCCUCAAAGAUUCAACGGGUCGUGGUACGUUAUAAAGAAGCUGGUGACGUCGAGCAGAUGUAUGAUCACCACCUUCGACCUGCAGGAGAACAGCACCAGCUUCAAGGUGCAGGAGUUACGCACCCCCAUCAUCGUCGACGUCACCCCCUACAAGGCCACGGUCACCAACGAGGGCACCUUGAAGAUGGACCGGACCACCCCGGCCAAGAUGAAGCUCGACUGGAGUGGCAAUAUACUGGACGAGGUCAUCAACACCGUGUACACAGUAGUGGACACAGACUACGACACCUACGCCGUAGACCUUGAGUGCCAGUCGUGGGGAAUCUUCAAGAGAGUGUCAGCCACCAUUCUCAGCCGCACCAAGGAGCUCCCAGCAGACAAGAUAAAAGAGCUGGAAAGUGAUCUUACGAAAUACAAGAUCGACCUCUCCCGGCUCAAUACCAUCGACCAGGGCAACUGCUUCGAUCCUUCACAGGUCGACUACAAUUUCAAGAUAGACCACAACGGUCUGAGUAUGAUGGGUCUCCUCGGUGACGAAAACCUGGAGCAUAUCAAGACACUUGAAGAAGCUAAGGAGUACCUCAAUAUAACGUCUAGGCCAUGAGACCUGGAUAUAACGUCUGGGCCAUGAGACCUGGAUAUAACGUCUGGGCCAUGAGACCUGGAUAUAACGUCUAGGCCAUGAGACCUGGACAUGUAGAUAAUUGACAUGGAGGGAGAUGUCGAUAUUAUGCUGACAUGAUGUGAGGCUCGCAGGACAUCUUGAUGUUACUUGAGCAGCAGAAGUCGUGAGGGAAGGUCGCGCUCCGCUGAGCUCCUGGAGGCCCUGGAGACUUCAUAGAUUUAAUGAGUAAACAUUCAAUACUAAACGUGAAGCU
Non-coding RNA from Procambarus clarkii (red swamp crayfish), 1091 nucleotides. NCBI's taxonomy places the organism in Eukaryota, Metazoa, Arthropoda, Malacostraca, Decapoda, Cambaridae. The record is from RefSeq and is a predicted model, not a curated record.